Peromyscus eremicus (cactus mouse) is the source of this 236-nucleotide long non-coding RNA. RefSeq lists it as uncharacterized. Lineage: Eukaryota; Metazoa; Chordata; Mammalia; Rodentia; Cricetidae. The transcript has 3 exons. The record is from RefSeq and is a predicted model, not a curated record.
CAAUGAGAGACAUAACUAAAAACAACUUAGUCUCUUCAAUUCUCCUGUUCUCUAUGCUUAGAGUCAUGCUUGGCAAAGUUCUGAUGGCUGGGAAUUAAAAAGCAGCCCAGACUGCUCUACUUGGCAUGGACUCUCCCAGUAGGGUUCCUCCUAAGAAAAUACAGAGGCCCGGGUUCUUGGCCAGCAGUGAGCGGAUUGGCUGAAGAGAUUUCUCCAUGCUUCCCAAAGCUCUAAGG